GGGGGUGUCAAAAUUCGACAGGAAAGCACUUUGAUAAUAGGCAAGCCGACAAUGGUUGUCAGGUCGUAAAAUCACAACCCAAAUUUAAGUGCAAACUUAAAGAGUACCCCUGCUUACGCCAUAGCUUAAGCGUGUAAGCAGCAUCUAGACAAGUCUUCUUAGGCGGAUCUGUUUUAGGUGUCAUAAUUGCCUGAGGUUUUAAAUUGGGCUGGCUUCCUAACUAAAACUAUCAACAGCCUUACUUGUUAGUCAAUCUGUCGAUGGAUAGAUUAGCAAGGAAAUUUUUCAUCGACUAAGCUUGUAGACUAUUAUCAAGAACUUUUUUGGACGAGGGUGCAAUUCCCUCCACCUCCACCA
RNAcentral lists this transfer-messenger RNA (357 nucleotides) under Patescibacteria group. Its description in RNAcentral is "f RBG-16-39-9b X1 Standard tmRNA". It matches the Rfam family "transfer-messenger RNA". Rfam says of the family: Bacterial tmRNA, also known as 10Sa RNA or SsrA, is named for its dual tRNA and mRNA-like properties. The record is from RNAcentral. RNAcentral also lists the same sequence under 1 other name.